This is a long non-coding RNA of Haliotis rubra (blacklip abalone), 122 nucleotides long. RefSeq lists it as uncharacterized. NCBI's taxonomy places the organism in Eukaryota, Metazoa, Mollusca, Gastropoda, Lepetellida, Haliotidae. The transcript has 3 exons. The record is from RefSeq and is a predicted model, not a curated record.
UAUUAAGGCGGGGGACGCCAGAAAUGGGCUUCACACAUUGUAUCCAUGUGGGGAAUCGAACCCGGGUCUUCGGCAUGAGUAGCGAACGCUUUAACCACUAGGCUACCAAACCGCCCCUACUG